This 646-nucleotide unclassified non-coding RNA is filed under the name Hevea brasiliensis (rubber tree). Lineage: Eukaryota; Viridiplantae; Streptophyta; Magnoliopsida; Malpighiales; Euphorbiaceae. The record is from RNAcentral.
AUGGUUGAUUUCUUACCACAGAUUAUAAACACCAUAUGAGGAACCUGUAACAAUGAACACUAAGAAGGAUGCUGAAAUUGCUGUUAACACCUAACUGCUACCAUAAUAUUCAUGAAUAUGCUUACAACAACUAAGCAUUAAAGCAUCUGAAGUGAAUUAAUCGACUUUACACACUAAUAUACUGAAGCUUAUCGAAUGCAUUUUGUGGUUUACUUAGCAGUAAGAUCCAAAUCUUAUAUCUUGGUUGAGAUGAUGAUGAGGAUUUAAAAAUUAAAACUGCAAACCUAUGUUUAUGUUCAGAAGUUUAAUGGGCUGUUGCUAAGUCAUCAACUAUAGUCUAUAAUCAAUAUAUUAGAGGACAAAUUAAACAAAAAUUUGAAUAAUGUGGUUAAUGUUACUGAAACAGUUAUUUUAAGACUUCUAUUGCUCUGAUUGAGUAGGUUGUUAACAAAUUAUUGUUCCCAAGGAUCAUGGAUUUGGAAAUUAAAUUAAAUACCCUUUGCCAGUUGCCACACUGAGAACAAGAAAGUUGAAUGGCAGAUUCCCAGUUUGCACAUUCAAAAAUUUCAUUGGUGUUUUGUGUUGCUGUCAUCCAUAUUUGUUUAAUCAAGUGCGUGUUCCAUGUUGACCUUGUUCUGUAGUUGAG